Long non-coding RNA from Anopheles stephensi (Asian malaria mosquito), 322 nucleotides. RefSeq lists it as uncharacterized. The transcript has 2 exons. The record is from RefSeq and is a predicted model, not a curated record. NCBI's taxonomy places the organism in Eukaryota, Metazoa, Arthropoda, Insecta, Diptera, Culicidae.
GGGUUAGUGGGUUGUUUACAGUACGUCGCCACCAAUGCUCGCAUCCUGACGCCUUCACCGUACGCGCUAAUAGCAUCCAGACUGAGCACACGACAUACACAUCGGGAGGAAAACUUGCUCGGAAAAACUUCUACGCAGUUCGCAGGAUUUCCUUCGUCGAAUACCACGUUCCUACAGAAGGCCUCCCUCCCCUCUCGCUCUCUGUGGGAAUGGAUCGACGGACGGAAAUAAAUAACAAAAUGCGCACACAGCAGCAUCACUGCACAAUGUGUGAGUGAGAGGAUAGGAUGGAAACCAUUUAGAGAGACAACAACAACAACAA